This 116-nucleotide ribosomal RNA is filed under the name Bacillus thuringiensis serovar iberica. Lineage: Bacteria; Bacillati; Bacillota; Bacilli; Caryophanales; Bacillaceae. The record is from RNAcentral.
UUGGUAGAGCAUCUGACUUUUAANCACACCCGUUCCCAUACCGAACACGGAAGUUAAGCUCUCUAGCGCCGAUGGUAGUUGGGACCUUGUCCCUGUGAGAGUAGGACGUUGCCAGG